GUUGUUCGGAAUUACUGGGCGUAAAGGGCGCGUAGGCGGCCUUCUAAGUCGAACGUGAAAUCCCCGGGCUCAACCCGGGAACUGCGUCCGAUACUGGGAGGCUUGAAUCCGGGAGAGGGAUGUGGAAUUCCAGGUGUAGCGGUGAAAUGCGUAGAUAUCUGGAGGAACACCGGUGGCGAAGGCGGCAUCCUGGACCGGUAUUGACGCUGAGGCGCGAAAGCCAGGGGAGCAAACGGG
RNAcentral lists this ribosomal RNA (237 nucleotides) under uncultured bacterium. RNAcentral describes it as "partial 16S ribosomal RNA". It matches the Rfam family "Bacterial small subunit ribosomal RNA", at positions 540 to 776 of the family's 1533-position model. The record is from RNAcentral.